UGUGUGUGUGUGUGUGUGUGUGUGUGUGUGUGUGUGUGUACACACACACACAGACACACACACAACUUUCUAUG
Molecule: non-coding RNA, 74 nt
Organism: Podarcis lilfordi (Lilford's wall lizard)
Lineage: Eukaryota; Metazoa; Chordata; Lepidosauria; Squamata; Lacertidae
Source: the annotation of a GenBank genome assembly